UCUACGAUCAUCACACACAUCCCUGUUUCUAAGGAUAAUAAUAUUGCGUCUAUGUAUAUAAGAUUUUUAUAUAUGUUGCAUAUUAUUUUUCUAUUUAUUUGAUUGGCAAAUCUGCACAUUAGUAAAAAACUUACAAAAUGCGUGGGAAACCAUUAUACUAUUAGUGUUAACAACCCCAAUUGCCCUUUUAAUUUAUGCUACAAACAAAACAAAACAAAAAAAAAACUGUAAACUAAACAUUUGAUGUUUGUUAACAACCACAAUUGUCAUCAUUUACUCUAAUUAAAUAAAUUUUCGUUUAUGUCGCUAAUAUGGAGAGCAAAAGUCCCUGAUUAAGAUUCUCUAUACCA
This 350-nucleotide long non-coding RNA is filed under the name Capsella rubella. RNAcentral's name for it is "long non-coding RNA (CRUB_LNC001912)". Lineage: Eukaryota; Viridiplantae; Streptophyta; Magnoliopsida; Brassicales; Brassicaceae. The record is from RNAcentral.